AGGGUUUGUCGUUUGUGGUACCAAGUCCUACAAAUGAUGGCAGCUUAUCCGUGGCCAUUGCUCUCCAAACUGAACACAUGAAACUGUUUGAGAAGUAUUUGUACGAGAUAUGACAGAGACAAGCCAGCAGAAGAAGAUGAUGACGAUGAUUCCUCCUUUUCCCCCCACUUAAAAAGUGGGGCUUUUUUUUGUUGCUUAAUUGUCGCAGAUGAUUCGUUAUCCUGUAUUUUGGAGGGUACAAUAAAAGUUAUGUCACACAUAAGUUGGUACUUGUGGUGGUUCUGUAACAUUUGGAUCGGUCAUGUAGGAACUUUUGCUUUUAUGUUUAUACUG
This 333-nucleotide long non-coding RNA is filed under the name Brassica rapa (field mustard). RNAcentral describes it as "long non-coding RNA (BRAP_LNC004777)". The record is from RNAcentral. Lineage: Eukaryota; Viridiplantae; Streptophyta; Magnoliopsida; Brassicales; Brassicaceae.